UACGUAGGGACCAAGCGUUGUUCGGAUUUACUGGGCGUAAAGGGCGCGUAGGCGGCAAUUCAAGUCAUCUGUGAAAUCUCCGGGCUUAACUCGGAACGGUCAGAUGAUACUGCUUUGCUAGAGCGCGGAAGGGGCAAUCGGAAUUCUCGGUGUAGCGGUGAAAUGCGUAGAUAUCGAGAGGAACACCUGAGGUGAAGACGGGUUGCUGGGCCGACACUGACGCUGAGUGCGCGAAAGCCAGGGGAGCAAACGGG
RNAcentral lists this ribosomal RNA (254 nucleotides) under uncultured bacterium. Its description in RNAcentral is "partial 16S ribosomal RNA". It matches the Rfam family "Bacterial small subunit ribosomal RNA", at positions 524 to 776 of the family's 1533-position model. The record is from RNAcentral.